Molecule: non-coding RNA, 25 nt
Filed under: Cricetulus griseus (Chinese hamster)
Lineage: Eukaryota; Metazoa; Chordata; Mammalia; Rodentia; Cricetidae
Also listed under: 1 other name
Source: RNAcentral
AUUCUCACUACUGCACUUGACUAGU